RNAcentral lists this transfer RNA (94 nucleotides) under Deltaproteobacteria bacterium. RNAcentral's name for it is "tRNA-Ser". It matches the Rfam family "tRNA". Rfam says of the family: Transfer RNA (tRNA) molecules are approximately 80 nucleotides in length. Their secondary structure includes four short double-helical elements and three loops (D, anti-codon, and T loops). Further hydrogen bonds mediate the characteristic L-shaped molecular structure. tRNAs have two regions of fundamental functional importance: the anti-codon, which is responsible for specific mRNA codon recognition, and the 3' end, to which the tRNAs corresponding amino acid is attached (by aminoacyl-tRNA synthetases). tRNAs cope with the degeneracy of the genetic code in two manners: having more than one tRNA (with a specific anti-codon) for a particular amino acid; and 'wobble' base-pairing, i.e. permitting non-standard base-pairing at the 3rd anti-codon position. Lineage: Bacteria; Pseudomonadati; Myxococcota; Myxococcia. The record is from RNAcentral.
GGAGAGAUGGCCGAGUCGGCUGAAGGCGCUCGCCUGCUAAGCGAGUAAGGGGCGUAAAACUCCUUCGAGGGUUCGAAUCCCUCUCUCUCCGCCA